Molecule: ribosomal RNA, 474 nt
Filed under: uncultured organism
Description: partial 16S ribosomal RNA
Rfam family: Bacterial small subunit ribosomal RNA
Source: RNAcentral
ACUCCUGCGGGAGGCAGCAGUGGGGAAUUUUGGACAAUGGGCGAAAGCCUGAUCCAGCAAUGCCGCGUGCAGGAUGAAGGCCUUCGGGUUGUAAACUGCUUUUGUACGGAACGAAAAAGCUCCUUCUAAUACAGGGGGCCCAUGACGGUACCGUAAGAAUAAGCACCGGCUAACUACGUGCCAGCAGCCGCGGUAAUACGUAGGGUGCGAGCGUUAAUCGGAAUUACUGGGCGUAAAGCGUGCGCAGGCGGUUAUGUAAGACAGAUGUGAAAUCCCCGGGCUCAACCUGGGAACUGCAUUUGUGACUGCAUGGCUAGAGUACGGUAGAGGGGGAUGGAAUUCCGCGUGUAGCAGUGAAAUGCGUAGAUAUGCGGAGGAACACCGAUGGCGAAGGCAAUCCCCUGGACCUGUACUGACGCUCAUGCACGAAAGCGUGGGGAGCAAACAGGAUUAGAAACCCCAGUAGUCCCAUGA